RNAcentral lists this ribosomal RNA (274 nucleotides) under uncultured prokaryote. RNAcentral describes it as "partial 16S ribosomal RNA". It matches the Rfam family "Bacterial small subunit ribosomal RNA", at positions 524 to 798 of the family's 1533-position model. The record is from RNAcentral.
UACGUAGGGGCAAGCGUUGUCCGGAAUGACUGGGCGUAAAGGGCGUGUAGGCGGCUGCUUAAGUCUGAUGUGAAAUACCCAUUUUUAAGGUGGGUCGUGCAUUGGAAACUGAGUAGCUUGAGUGCGGAAGAGGUAAGUGGAAUUCCCGGUGUAGCGGUGAAAUGCGUAGAGAUCGGGAGGAACACCAGUGGCGAAGGCGACUUACUGGGCCGCAACUGACGCUGAGGCGCGAAAGCGUGGGGAGCAAACAGGAUUAGAUACCCUGGUAGUCCCU